RNAcentral lists this transfer RNA (73 nucleotides) under Stegodyphus mimosarum. It matches the Rfam family "tRNA". Rfam says of the family: Transfer RNA (tRNA) molecules are approximately 80 nucleotides in length. Their secondary structure includes four short double-helical elements and three loops (D, anti-codon, and T loops). Further hydrogen bonds mediate the characteristic L-shaped molecular structure. tRNAs have two regions of fundamental functional importance: the anti-codon, which is responsible for specific mRNA codon recognition, and the 3' end, to which the tRNAs corresponding amino acid is attached (by aminoacyl-tRNA synthetases). tRNAs cope with the degeneracy of the genetic code in two manners: having more than one tRNA (with a specific anti-codon) for a particular amino acid; and 'wobble' base-pairing, i.e. permitting non-standard base-pairing at the 3rd anti-codon position. Lineage: Eukaryota; Metazoa; Arthropoda; Arachnida; Araneae; Eresidae. The record is from Rfam by way of RNAcentral.
GCCUUCGUGGUGAAGUGGUCAGCACGCUAGACCCGUGUUAGAGAGGUCCGUGGUUCGAAUCCCGGAGAGGGCA